Molecule: ribosomal RNA, 358 nt
Filed under: Clostridioides difficile
Lineage: Bacteria; Bacillati; Bacillota; Clostridia; Peptostreptococcales; Peptostreptococcaceae
Description: bacterial SSU rRNA
Rfam family: Bacterial small subunit ribosomal RNA
Source: RNAcentral
CUAACUACGUGCCAGCAGCCGCGGUAAUACGUAGGGGGCUAGCGUUAUCCGGAUUUACUGGGCGUAAAGGGUGCGUAGGCGGUCUUUCAAGUCAGGAGUGAAAGGCUACGGCUCAACCGUAGUAAGCUCUUGAAACUGGGAGACUUGAGUGCAGGAGAGGAGAGUGGAAUUCCUAGUGUAGCGGUGAAAUGCGUAGAUAGUAGGAGGAACACCAGUUGCGAAGGCGGCUCUCUGGACUGUAACUGACGCUGAGGCACGAAAGCGUGGGGAGCAAACAGGAUUAGAUACCCUGGUAGUCCACGCUGUAAACGAUGAGUACUAGGUGUCGGGGGUUACCCCCUUCGGUGCCGCAGCUAAC